GCCAGAAUCACACUGUGGUGGAGUAUAUUGAGCAGAAUCAUACGGUGGUGAAUUUUACUGACCAAAUUCAGAGACCUUGGAUGAUUAUUGUUAUCUUAUCUGGUCUGAUGCAUGGUGUUCUGGUCUGUGUGGUCAUUGGUGUAUGUUGCUACUCUGGAGAAAAAAUAAAAAGACAAGAAGAAGAUUUAGAGGGGACUCAGUUUAUGCCUCUGGAACUACUUCAAGAGCCAAAUGCAAUGUAUACUGAGGUGGUCUUUUCCUUGACGUGUGAAGAAUUUCUCCUGCAGCCCAAAUCAUAAACAGAAAAGCUUGUUCCUGACCUUAUA
Long non-coding RNA from Sinocyclocheilus anshuiensis, 326 nucleotides. RefSeq lists it as uncharacterized. Lineage: Eukaryota; Metazoa; Chordata; Actinopteri; Cypriniformes; Cyprinidae. The record is from RefSeq and is a predicted model, not a curated record. The transcript has 3 exons.